Molecule: transfer RNA, 88 nt
Filed under: Candidatus Fermentithermobacillaceae bacterium
Lineage: Bacteria; Bacillati; Bacillota; Candidatus Fermentithermobacillia; Candidatus Fermentithermobacillales; Candidatus Fermentithermobacillaceae
Description: tRNA-Leu
Rfam family: tRNA
About the family: Transfer RNA (tRNA) molecules are approximately 80 nucleotides in length.
Source: RNAcentral
GCCGGGGUGUUGGAACGGUAGACAAUGGGGACUUAAAAUCCCUUGGGCGGUAACGCCCGUGCGGGUUCGAAUCCCGCCCCCGGCACCA